This 254-nucleotide ribosomal RNA is filed under the name uncultured bacterium. RNAcentral's name for it is "partial 16S ribosomal RNA". It matches the Rfam family "Bacterial small subunit ribosomal RNA", at positions 524 to 776 of the family's 1533-position model. The record is from RNAcentral.
CACGUAGGGGGCGAGCGUUGUCCGGAUUUAUUGGGCGUAAAGAGCUCGUAGGCGGCUCGGUAAGUCGGGUGUGAAACCUCCAGGCUCAACCUGGAGACGCCACCCGAUACUGCCGUGGCUAGAGUCCGGUAGAGGAGCGUAGAAUUCCUGGUGUAGCGGUGAAAUGCGUAGAUAUCGGGAAGAACACCAGUGGCGAAAGCGCUCUACUGGGCCAUAACUGACACUGAGGGACGAAAGUGUGGGGAUCAAACAGG